GGGGUGGGGGGAUACGGGGUCCUAAAUGAGCCCUAUGGGGUACGGGGUCCUAAAUGAGCCCAAUGGGGUAUGGGGUCCUAAAUGAGCCCAAUGGGAUACAGGGUCCUAAAUGAACCCAAUGGGAUAUGGGGGGACGGGGUCCUAAAUGAGCCCUAUGGGGUAUGGGGUCCUAAAUGACCCCAAUUGGAGAUGGGGUCCUAAAUGAGCCCAAUGGGAUACGGGGGGAUGGGGUCCUAAAUGAGCCCAAUGGGAUAUGGGGGGAGAUGGGGUCCUAAAUGAGCCCUAUGGGGUCCUAAAUGAACCCAAUGGGAUAUGGGGGGACGGGGUCCUAAAUGAACCCAAUGGGAUACGGGGGGAUGGGGUCCUAAAUGAGCCCAGUGGGAUACGGGGGGAGAUGGGGUCCUAAAUGACCCCAAUGGGAGAUGGGGUCCUAAAUGACCCCAAUGGGAUACGGGGGGGACUAAUCCCAAAUGUCCCCAUGGGGCACAGCUUGGCUCAGAUCCCAAAUGUCUGUAUGGGGUCACAGAUGGGAUCAGAUCCAAAAUGUCUCUAUGGGGUCACAGAUGGGAUCGGAUCCCCGUUGGUGAUCCCAAUGAUUGCUGUCGUUUCAGAGCUGAGCUGCUGCCGGGACGAGCGGGACGUGGAGGAGCUGCUGCUCGAGGCCAGCCAGGAUGCGGGGCAGGAGCCGCCGUGACAGCGCGGGUGGAUGGGGCCGGAUUUGGGGUCGGGGCUCAGAUUUGGGGUCAGGGCUCACAUUUGGGGUCAGGAUCCGGAUUUGGGGUCAGGGCUCACAUUUGGGGUCAGGAUCCGGAUUUGGGGUCAGGGCUCACAUUUGGGGUCAGGGCUCAAAUUAGGUUCAGGAUCCGGAUUUGGGGUCGGGGCUCAAAUUAGGUUCAGGAUCCAGAUUUGGGGUCGGGGCUCAGAUUUGGGGUCAGGAUCCGGAUUUGGGGUCAGGGCUCACAUUUGGGGUCAGGGUUUCGAUUUUGGAUCAGGAUCUGGAUUUGGGGUCAGGAUCCGGAUUUGGGGUCAGCAUUUCAAUUUAGGAUCAGGAUUGGGAUUUGGGGUCAGGAUCCAGACUGAGGUCAGCAUUUCAAUUUGGGAUUAGGAUCCAGAUUGGGCCCAGGAUCCGGAUUUGGGGUCAGGGUUUCGAUUUUGGAUCAGGAUCGGGAUUUGGGGUCAGGGUUCAGAUUUGGGGUCAGGGUUUCGGUUUUGGAUCAGGAUCGGGAUUUGGGGUCAGGAUCCGGACUUGGGGUCAGGGUUCAGAUUUGGGGUCAGGGUUUCAAUUUGGGAUCAGGAUCCGGAUUUGAAGUUGGGAGUCUCGAUUUUGGAUCAGGGUUCGGAUUUGGGGUCAGGUCCGGAUUUGGGGUCAGGGUUUCAGUUUUGGAUCAGGAUCUGAAUUUAGGGUCAGGGUUCGGAUUUGGGGUCAGGAUCCGGAUUGGGGUCCGGGUCCGGAUUGAUCCGGAUUGAUUGGGGUCCGGAUUUGGGCUCAGGUUUCAGCUCUGGGAUCUGCUGUGGGGUCGGGGCCCCAACCCAGCACCAGGGGCCCCAAUGGGGUGUCCCCAGUAGGGUGUCCCAAUAGGGUGUCCCCAAUGGAGUGUCCUCAAUGGGGUGUCUUCAAUAGGGUGUCCCCAAUGGGGUGUCCCCAAUAGGGUGUCCUCAAUGGGGUGUCCCCAAUAGGGUGUGCCCAAUGGUGUGUCCCCAAUGGGAUGUCCCCAGUAGGGUGUCCCCAGUGGGGUGUCCCCAAUGGGGUGUCCCCAUGGGGUGUCACCACUGAGACCUCACCACGGCCCCAUGGAGGUGUCACCGUGUCCCCAAGGUGACCCUGACCCCACCCCCAUCAGUGACCCCAAAAGGGGACGCCGACCCCAAAGCUCACAUCCCCGAAAGGUUGGGGUGACGCCGACCCCAAAAGGUGAUGCUGACCCCAUAGGUUGGGCUGACCCCGACCCCACUGUCACUCACCCGACCCCAAAGGCUGCCGUCGCCCCAAUGUUGGGGGCUGACCCCAAAAGGUGACGCCGUGCCGCCCCUCUCAGGCUGUUCUCAGGGGCCGCGGUGUUGGGGGGGGG
Molecule: long non-coding RNA, 2069 nt
Organism: Gallus gallus (chicken)
Lineage: Eukaryota; Metazoa; Chordata; Aves; Galliformes; Phasianidae
Source: Ensembl